RNAcentral lists this long non-coding RNA (5041 nucleotides) under Taeniopygia guttata (zebra finch). RNAcentral's name for it is "lncRNA (ENSTGUG00000028367.1)". Lineage: Eukaryota; Metazoa; Chordata; Aves; Passeriformes; Estrildidae. The record is from RNAcentral.
CCCCAUGACAUAAACUAUCCCUGAACGAAGCAAAACACCACUGCCUUGGGAUAGGGAAUGUGCCCCGGGGGCAGCCAGGAGCAUCACCAAAAGUUGGGAAAGAGGGAAAGCGAUAAGCUCGGCCAUGAGAUGAGGCAAUGAGUAAGGAGCGCUGUCAUUUAAUAAGGUCUGUUCUCAGUAAUUACAGCGACACAAUUUGAUCAGCAAGAACUAAGUAUCUUCAUCUGAAAGGGAUCAGAUGAAAUUAGUGCUGAUGUAAUAAGUACCAUUUGUCACUAUUAGGGAGAGAGGUGUUGACAGGUCCCUGCCGUUGCCGUGGCAACGUGGCAGCGCCGUUCCUGCUCCGACUCCAGCGAGUGGCACAAGGCUGGGAGGCAGAGGAUGCUCUGCUGGGAUAACCCAGUUACCCCUUCCCCAGCUGGCUCAGGCAGGAUCCCCGAAUUCUAAUGAUGCUGGGAUUCCUGGGGCUCCAUCUGGGGCUGAUUCCUCAUCCUCCAGCCUGCCUAUGAGGAAGCACUGAGGGAGCUGGGGGUGCCCAGCCUGGAGAAAAGGAGGCUCAGGGGUGACCUUGUCAUUCCCCACAGCUCCUGAAAGGUGCCUGUGCCCAGCUGGGGCUGGGCUCUUUCUCCAGGCAGCACUGACAGAACCAGAGCUCACAGCCUCGAGCUGAGCCAAGGGAAAUACACGUUGGAUAUCAGGGAAAAGUUUUUACAGAAAUGGUGAUAAAGUUCUGGAAUGGCUGCCCGGUGAGGUGGUGGAGUCACCAUCCCUGGGUGUGUUUAACAAAGCCUGGAUGUGGCACUGGGUGCCAGGGCUGAGUUGAGGAGCUGGGGCUGGGUUGGACUCGAUCUUUAAGGUCUCUUCCAACCCAGUGAUUCUGUGAAUUCUGCCUCAGUUUCCCUGCUACCAGAAACCUCAGAGCAUCCUUGGGGAUGUUCUCCCUGGAUCAUUCCACCUUGCUGCCAGUCUCUUGCAGCCAGCUCUCACACAGACCCCACGGCAGGAGGGAAAUUCCUGCAUUUUAUGGUUAUUUUGACACCAUCCUCACACACCUGCAGCGUGAUUUUCUCCCACACAGCCUUAAUGCAACAUUUAGAAACACUGAGGGCUUUGUGUUGGCCCAACUCGAGCUGAAAGGUGUCCUUUCCACCAGGCAGCCCCAUAAAGGAAAUUUUCAUUGCAGGCAGAAGCUGAGUUUCUCUGACACUGGGAGUCCAGCAGUGAGGUUAUUCACAGGCAGAUUACAUAUUGUUGCAUUAUUUUCCACUGAUGCAUUCCAGGACAUGAAAUAAAAAGGGAAUAUUUGCUGCCAGCAGGUAAAAUUCUAAGAGUGAAAUACCACAUGAAAGGAAAAAAAAGAGAGAUUCUCAUGAUCAGAUACUCAUAAUCAAUGCACAUAGCCAAAACACAAUCUUAAUUACUAUCAGUGGGUGGAAAUUUCCUGAAUGUUAAAUUACCUGUGGCAAUUAUGAACUACUGAGUAACCUGUUUACAGCUUCCUGAAAUUAUCAUCACAUAAUUUGGCAAUCUGCCAUAUUUUAUUUCAUUAAAAAUUUAAUGUACCGUAACAUAAUAGCCAUAAUAAAGCUGUCAAGAUCCACUCACUGCUAUUUACUUCGCUAUCAUCUGUUUAUUAGCUCUCAAAACCAAAAGCCAAACAGAAAGGAAAACUGAAAACUCACAGAUCACAUGAGAAAAGGAGAAUAUGAAGGGCUCCCUCUUUCUGCUGUACAGCCCCAGCAUCCAUCUCUACCCCAUUUCUCUCACAGUCAAAACCAUGCAUAGAGAAUACCUAAUAAUGUGUUUUGAGAUCUUAACUGCUUGCUAAAGUGUGAUGCACAUAGAUGGGACAGGACAUAAAUUGCCAGAACCCAGCAAUAAUUAUCAGUAUUUUACACUAUAGCUAGCAUUAACAACACCAAUAAAAUCAUCAUGAUUUUCAAGUUGUCAUCUGGAAGAAGUGCUUCCUCUGCCAGGGCAUCUUUAAAAUUAAACACUGAAGCAUUUGAGAAAACUACAGCAGCUGGAACUGAUGCAAAAAUCAAGAAGUCAGUGACUGUCCCAAAAUGCAAAGCUGUUGGAUGAGGAGUUAAUCCCUUCAAUUUGGGCCCAACAGCUUCAGCCAAAACGAGGAGAGCUUGUGGCUGUGCUCUGGCCAGGCUCGGCUUUUGCUGAGGUUUCAUGGUUCGCAGGGAGUGUAGGUCUGGAAACACGAGUGUUUAUGAGCCAUGGAGAAACCCAACAGCUCCACUUAGAGCACAAGUGUUGAUUUCCUUCCCCAGCUCCCUCCUCACACCCUGACAAGCACCACACCUGCUGAGGGUUUGAAGCAGAUCAAGUGCUAAGAGAUGCAGGCUUUGGGAAGAAAUAAAGGGGCAUUGCUACGUUCAGGUGGGACAAAAGUGACAACAACAGUUUCACAGGUGAGUAGCAAGGGAACAGCACUAACAGAGCUUAGGUACUCCAAAAAACCCCACACCCAGUGAAUUUCAUGCACUAAUUUCCACCAUGUUAGUGACAAAUACUAAAGUAGUUUAACCUACUUGCAUGUUAAAAAUAGACUUACUGAGUAGCACGUUGGUUGGUAUAUUUUGCCAACUUGUUUGUGGUUUUGUUUUGUUUUUUCUGGCUUAUAAAUCAAGAAAAUAGAUAAAAUUCCAUUAAGUUUCUGUGCAUGCCUAAGAUACUGAAAUUGCAAUGACAGAGCAUUUUAUUUGCAAAACAUUCGAAGACAAUUUCACAAAUGGGGCAAAUAAACCAAGAUACAAUGCAUUAAGUUUUCAAGUAGUGAGGGAUAAAUUAACACUGUGUUUCAGAGCCCAUAGACAGCUAAAAGAAGCAUUAGUUUAUAUUAUUUAGGUAAUUCACAGUUUUAAUCUUCGAGUUUUCAAGCAAGGGAAGAACUGCUUGAUAUACUCGAUUUACAGGCAGUAUUUCUCUGAGUUUUAGAUUAAUGCAUCAAAUAGAAGACAAUCAACACACACAUACUGAAGAAAUCUGAAGGGAACCUGUAAUAAAAUAAAAUCCUCACAGAGAAAAAAGAACACUUUUCAUUAAAACAAUUCUGCUGACAUCAUUUUACCCCUGGGUUGGGCAUUAACCAUAAGUGUGAUUUAAAGUGAGCAUUUCUUCUGCUUACAAGUGCUGCAUUUCCAAGGGUGAGAAGGAAAAUGAGUACGUUUUCCUCAGUUUCAUGCUCAGAACUACUGCUUGUGCCAUGGCAUCCUUAUCACAGAAUAUUAGCUAAAAAUGAAAAGCAAAUAUUUGACUUUCAAAUUUGUAUCCAGAUGUAUCCUCUCAGAAAAUAAAUGCUGUCACAACAGUUAUACCAAAGCCUCCACACUGCUUCAGUUGCACUAUGAGAUCAUGGGAUCAUUAAGGUUGGAAAGGCUUUCAAGAUCAUCAAGUCCAAACACAAUCCACAUCAGUGAUUUUUUCUGCAGGUUUUCCCUCUUUGCCUCUGGGUACAACUCAAAAGUGCAAAGGAGAGGGGAAGAGCAAAGGUUCUGCUCUUAUCCUCAAAUGGAAGCACCCUACAGACAGAAUAAACAACUAGGAACAGCAAAAAUCAAGAGUCCUACACUUGAAUUAGGGAAAAAAUCUGAAAAGUAAAAUUUGGAGAUUAUGCUACAGCAAGUUAUAAGCUAAAAUAAGUAUAGAAGGGACCUUAAAUGUCAGUUCUCAAGAGUCACUGGCAUUACUGGAACAAUUACAGUUCAGUCAAAUGGGUUUGAAAUAAGGAAAAAUUGUCUGGUUACCAGAGUGGGAAUUAGGCAAUGCCAACAUUUUAUCACAGCUGAACCCAGUUACUUGCUUAUAGUUUUGAACUAAAAUAAAACAUUAACCCUGAAAUUCAACUCACUCAUAUUACAGGAUUGAACUCACUCUUUCCUUUCAAUAUAUUCCCUCUUUUGCCUAAAUGGACCUGUUGUGAUCAAUGUCACUGCACGUAUAAAAUGUCAAUAUUCUCUCUCCGUGCCUUAGGUUGGAAAUGGGGAUGUGUAUUCUAUUCCUAUCUGUCAGAGGUGGGGCAGUUCUCUGCUGUUCAUUGGGCAGCUUUUUCUUUAUCUCUCCCAUAGCCAAUCCUCCCUCCAGAAGAUCUCUUCUGUCCAUGGGCCAUUAAUUAUUAAUUAUCUUCUGUUCAUGGCCAGAGAGUGUCCCUGCAUGGCUGAGAAAAUUCCAUCAUCCCAUGGGGAGAUGCUCUACCCAGGGGAGGAGCCAAACAUUCCUACCUGGAUACAAUCUGACCUUUGCCCACUGCAUUCCCGGAGGAGCAGCUUUCUUCCCACUGCAUUCCCAGAGGAGCACUUUCUUCCCACUGCAUUCCCAGAGGGGCCCAGGCCCAUCUCCCCCAGCCCUGGAGCUCCAGAGGAAAACUCCCCCCUUGUGCAGGAUCCUGCUCCAGCAGAAGCACAGCUGGCACUGCAGGAGGGCUGAGCCACCCUGGGAUGGGACUGCUGCCACCACCCUGACCCACAGGGGGACAGGGCAUGUUCUGACUCUGGCAGUGAUGUUCUGUAUUACUGCAUUUUUAUUUUCAUUUUAUUCCCUAAUAAACAACUGUUAUUCCUACUCCCAUAUCUUUGCCUGAGAGCCCCUUAAUUUCAAAAUUACAAUAAAGUGGAGGGAGGGGAUUUAUAUUUUCCAUUUCAGGGGAGGCUCCUGCCUUCCUCAGCAGACACCUGGCUUUUUAAACCAAGACACUCCUUCUUUCUUGUUGCUCCCUUCAGGCACUGCAAGGCCACCCUGAGGUCACCCCGAAGCUUCUCUUCGCCAGGCUGAACAAUCACAAUUCUCUCAGCCUUUCCUGACAGCAGAGGUGCUGUGUCCACCAUCAUCCAUCAAAGAUCUCCAUGACAGACAAUUUCCUUGGUGUGGGGAAGGCCAGGAGGCCUCAAAUGCCCCAGUGCCAUCAUGAAUGCAACCAAUGAUUGCUGUGCCAACCUUAAUGUCUCUGCUUUUUCUUUGUUAUGUUAAUGAUGCCACAAAUAAUUGGACUCCUUGAGAGGUUUUCACAACUCUUUUUGAAGUUUUGCUUUAU